UACGUAGGGGGCAAGCGUUGUCCGGAAUCAUUGGGCGUAAAGAGCGUGUAGGCGGCCAGAAAAGUCCGCUGUGAAAACUCGAGGCUCAACUUCGAGCUGUCGGUGGAAACUUUCUGGCUAGAGUCCGGAAGAGGAGAAUGGAAUUCCUGGUGUAGCGGUGAAAUGCGCAGAUAUCAGGAAGAACACCCGUGGCGAAGGCGGUUCUCUGGGACGGUACUGACGCUGAGACGCGAAAGCGUGGGGGGCGAACAGG
Molecule: ribosomal RNA, 253 nt
Filed under: uncultured bacterium
Lineage: Bacteria
Description: partial 16S ribosomal RNA
Rfam family: Bacterial small subunit ribosomal RNA
Source: RNAcentral